AGUGAACGCUGGCGGUAGGCCUAACACAUGCAAGUCGAACGGCAGCACAGUAAGAGCUUGCUCUUACGGGUGGCGAGUGGCGGACGGGUGAGGAAUACAUCGGAAUCUACUUUUUCGUGGGGGAUAACGUAGGGAAACUUACGCUAAUACCGCAUACGACCUACGGGUGAAAGCAGGGGAUCUUCGGACCUUGCGCGAUUGAAUGAGCCGAUGUCGGAUUAGCUGGUUGGCGGGGUAAAGGCCCACCAAGGCGACGAUCCGUAGCUGGUCUGAGAGGAUGAUCAGCCACACUGGAACUGAGACACGGUCCAGACUCCUACGGGAGACAACAGUGGGGAAUAUUGGACAAUGGGCGCAAGCCUGAUCCAGCCAUACCGCGUGGGUGAAGAAGGCCUUCGGGUUGUAAAGCCCUUUUGUUGGGAAAGAAAAGCAGCAGGUUAAUACCCCGCUGUUCUGACGGUACCCAAAGAAUAAGCACCGGCUAACUUCGUG
RNAcentral lists this ribosomal RNA (492 nucleotides) under uncultured bacterium. Its description in RNAcentral is "partial 16S ribosomal RNA". It matches the Rfam family "Bacterial small subunit ribosomal RNA", at positions 29 to 507 of the family's 1533-position model. The record is from RNAcentral.